UGGGGAAUAUUGCACAAUGGGCGCAAGCCUGAUGCAGCCAUGCCGCGUGUAUGAAGAAGGCCUUCGGGUUGUAAAGUACUUUCAGCGGGGAGGAAGGGAGUAAAGUUAAUACCUUUGCUCAUUGACGUUACCCGCAGAAGAAGCACCGGCUAACUCCGUGCCAGCAGCCGCGGUAAUACGGAGGGUGCAAGCGUUAAUCGGAAUUACUGGGCGUAAAGCGCACGCAGGCGGUUUGUUAAGUCAGAUGUGAAAUCCCCGGGCUCAACCUGGGAACUGCAUCUGAUACUGGCAAGCUUGAGUCUCGUAGAGGGGGGUAGAAUUCCAGGUGUAUCGGUGAAAUGCGUAGAGAUCUGGAGGAAUACCGGUGGCGAAGGCGGCCCCCUGGACGAAGACUGACGCUCAGGUGCGAAAGCGUGGGGAGCAAACAGG
This 429-nucleotide ribosomal RNA is filed under the name Chloroflexota bacterium. RNAcentral's name for it is "Chloroflexi bacterium partial 16S ribosomal RNA". It matches the Rfam family "Bacterial small subunit ribosomal RNA", at positions 355 to 776 of the family's 1533-position model. The record is from RNAcentral. Lineage: Bacteria; Bacillati; Chloroflexota.